UAUCUGUGCGGUUUUGUAGAUUUGUAAUGUACCUGUUUAUAUGAGCUGAAAUCCUGAAAGCACUCUUGCUGGCUCAAACGGUAUGCAUAUUUGAAUUUAAGGAUAUAGGAGUUCCUGUCAUAGCUCAGUGGUUAACAACCCCGUCUAAGAUCCAUGAAGAUGCGAGUUCGAUCCCUGGCCUUACUCAGUGGGUUAAGGUUCCAGUGUCACUGUGAGCUGUGGUGUCGGUCGCAGACGCGGAUGGGAUCUGGCAUUGCUGUGACUGUGGCGUAGGUCGGCCCCUGUAGCUCAGAUUUGACCCCUAGCGUGGGAACUUCCGUGUGCUACGGGUGUGGCCCUAAAAAAAAAAAAAGGAUAUAGCUGAAUUGUCACCAAGAAUGACUAACUUCAGCCCAGCCCGGUAUUCUCUCAGCACAGUGAGGAGGCGCUGGUGGUCCGUGGCCCCCUCAGCACAGGGCAUCAGCAUCCAGCUUCAUCUUGGUUCUUCAUUUUACGGAGAGGUGAAUGGCUUGCAUCUCUUUCUUGUAACGUGUAAAACCCGUGGGUGUGUCUGUGGCUGUGGCUGGAAAAUAUCCCUACCCAGACCAAGCUGGCUUCUCUCAGACUCCAGCCCUCGUGCCGUCUCUGGGCUUGUGUCCUGUGCGUCCUGCUGCAGCCGCUCCCACGGCUCCCAAAGAGGCCCUCAAGUAGCCAAGGGCCACAGGCGCUCCCCUUUCUUUCUGUUCAUUCAUUGAUUCGACAGAAGCCCUGAGCAUCUUCCCUGAGCAGAGUAUCCUAUUUGGGGGCUCCCUGUGGCCACACUGGGGGCUUGUUCAGUGGCCUCAGUGCCAAGCCUGUUCAAACGUUCUAAUCCUCUCACUCCAUGCUUUGAAAACUGGCUCAUGAUACACAGUGACAAAUCCCUUUUACACAGUUGUGACCUAGGCUGUGUGCUCAUGCAAACACACACACACUUUCAUGAACCAAAAUUUACUCUUACUGCAUUUUUUAUUCCAUUGUGUUUCAUCUAUUUCAUUUUUUAAAACCUCAGACCAUGAUAAGUCAUGACCUGCAGUGUGGAAACCACAGUUUGAAUUUCCCUAAACUCCAGCCCCGUUCUGAGUGAGGACCCCUCCCCCCCGCCCCAGUUAUGGGAGGGGGGCUUUCCCAGUGUCCAGCGCAGCAAAGGCAAGAGGCUGGGCUUGGAUCUGCAUCAGCAAAGAGCUCUGUUCAGAUGCAUCUCUGUCUUAGUAGCUGCAUCUAAGGCCAUGAGGGGACUAGGGUGGACCUUGGUGACCUGGUCAGGGGGUGAGUGUGGGGAGCCAGGAUGGUGUAGCUUUCUGGAGGCCCGGAGCCCUUCUUUUCUCUGGAGACUGGGUACGGGGAGAGGGCAGCUGCCUCUUCUCCCUUUUGUCCUCUUCCCCUUCCUGUCCCCUCUCAGAGAGAGAUGCCAGUGCUGGUGGUCAUGGCAGCGAACACCUGUCCAGCAUCUGUGUCCUAGGUGCUGAUCUGAGAGCCUUAUGUGAGUUAAUUCAAUGUAAUACAACAAAUCUAUUCCAUUAGCCCCAUGUCGCGAGAGGAAUUUGAGACAGAGAAGCCUGCCCAAGGCUUGUUUUUGUUCAAGCCACGCAGUGGGGCUCUCCCGUGUGGACCUGACCCUUGUGGAAAUUGGAGCUGAUGACAGAAUAGCAGACUCCUUUAACGGAUACGUCUUUCUUAGAGGCAACCUAUUCCCCCCACUUUGCGUGGACUGACCCCCCACCCCCCACCCCCUCCAGGAUCUGCCCAGAGGAAAGCACAGGACCUAAGCAAGCAAUCCGAUUGGUUCCUUCACUGUGAAAGGGGAAGAAAUCCUCUUUCGGGGAGGGGGGAGUGUCACUAGGUUGGUGGGAUGUGCUUUGUGCGGCCAGCAGGUGCUGCGUUUGUCACGUGGAGUGACCCUGUCGUCUAUAUGCAGAAAAGGCUGCUGUUACUCAGGCCCUUGGAUAGAGCUGUCGCCCAAGCCCGACAGGGAUAGCAUUUUGCUCUAAAGACAGUUGGAGAUGCUUUUUCAUCAUCUGCAGCAGGGAGAGGCCUGACCAGCACUGGGGAGUCUGGAAGCUUUCAAAGUGGCAGCGAAGCUUACGCAGAUCGGAUGCCCGCCUUCCCAUCUUUCCACAUUUGGAAAGUGCCAGCUCUCAGGGAGGCAUGGAGCCCUGAGCAGGAUGUCUAGCCUGACGGGCAUGGUGUGUGAUCCCAGGGGGCCUGGGAGCUCUUCUGCAGGUGCCCUCCUGGGGGGGCUGUGCAAAGACCAGGUUACUGCAUGGUCACAGGGUGUUGUGCAAUGAGACUGUAUUUGCUGCAGAUGUGUGGAUGGGAGUCAGAAGCUAUCUCUUGUCUGUUGUUUGAUUACUACUUCUGUGUCCAAAACAACCCCCAGCAGUUCCCAUUGUGGCUCAGUGGGUUAAGAAACCAACUAGUAUCCAUGAGGAUGUGGGUUCAAUCCCUGGCCUCACUCAGUUAAGGAUCUGGUGUUGCCACAAGAUGUGGCGUAGGUCACAGGUGCGGCUUGGAUCUGGUGUUGCUGUAGCUGCAGGGUAGGCUGGCAGCUGCAGCUCCGAUUUGACCCCUAGCCCGGGAACUUCCAUAUGCUGUGGGUGUGGC
Molecule: long non-coding RNA, 2622 nt
Filed under: Sus scrofa (pig)
Lineage: Eukaryota; Metazoa; Chordata; Mammalia; Artiodactyla; Suidae
Description: lncRNA (ENSSSCG00015001515.1)
Source: RNAcentral